Molecule: long non-coding RNA, 208 nt
Filed under: Panax ginseng (ginseng)
Lineage: Eukaryota; Viridiplantae; Streptophyta; Magnoliopsida; Apiales; Araliaceae
Description: long non-coding RNA (PGIN_LNC008531)
Source: RNAcentral
GCACAUCUAUAAAAUUUAAACACUGGAAUACAAAUAAUAAUGCGUGAUCAAGGAGGAAAUGAUAAUUACUCCAAACCUGUAUGGAGUAUUAAUUAGUACUAGUGCCAGUAUAUAUUUGUAAGUACGUAGUAGUAGCAAGUUUAAUUAUCUGCACUUCAACGCACCUAGUUAUAAUACUAGCUACCAACCUUCUUCUUCUUCAUUUCAG